GGUGCGAGCGUUGUCCGGAAUUAUUGGGCGUAAAGGGCUCGUAGGCGGUUUGUCGCGUCGGGAGUGAAAACCUCGGGCUUAACUCGGGGCUUGCUUUCGAUACGGGCAGACUAGAGGUAUGCAGGGGAGAACGGAAUUCCUGGUGUAGCGGUGAAAUGCGUAGAUACCAGGAGGAACACCGGUGGCGAAGGCGGUUUCCUGGCCCAGUACUGACGCUGAGGCACGAAAGCGUGGGGAGCGAACGGG
RNAcentral lists this ribosomal RNA (246 nucleotides) under uncultured bacterium. Its description in RNAcentral is "partial 16S ribosomal RNA". It matches the Rfam family "Bacterial small subunit ribosomal RNA", at positions 531 to 776 of the family's 1533-position model. The record is from RNAcentral.